UUCCUACGGGACGCAGCAGUCGGGAAUAUUGCGCAAUGGAGGAAACUCUGACGCAGUGACGCCGCGUAUAGGAAGAAGGUUUUCGGAUUGUAAACUAUUGUCGUUAGGGAAGAUACAAGACAGUACCUAAGGAGGAAGCCCCGGCUAACUAUGUGCCAGCAGCCGCGGUAAUACGGAGGGUGCGAGCGUUAAUCGGAAUUACUGGGCGUAAAGCGCUCGUAGGCGGUAUGUCAAGUCAAGGGUGAAAUCCCCGCGCUCAACGUGGGAACUGCCUUUGAAACUGGCAAACUGGAGUGUGUGAGAGG
Molecule: ribosomal RNA, 305 nt
Filed under: uncultured bacterium
Lineage: Bacteria
Description: bacterial SSU rRNA
Rfam family: Bacterial small subunit ribosomal RNA
Source: RNAcentral